GUGAUUGGUCUCACUCCUGCAACACAUACACCAAUGCUGGAACAUUACAGAAAAAAUUAGCAUAGCCCCUGUGCAAAGGAGACUCACGAAUUUGUAAAGUUGCCAUAUUUUUU
Small nuclear RNA from Loxodonta africana (African savanna elephant), 113 nucleotides. The record is from Ensembl. Lineage: Eukaryota; Metazoa; Chordata; Mammalia; Proboscidea; Elephantidae.